CAGCCGCCGCGGUAAUACGGAGGGUGCAAGCGUUAAUCGGAAUUACUGGGCGUAAAGCGCACGCAGGCGGUCUGUCAAGUCAGAUGUGAAAUCCCCGGGCUUAACCUGGGAACUGCAUUUGAAACUGGCAGGCUAGAGUCUUGUAGAGGGGGGUAGAAUUCCAGGUGUAGCGGUGAAAUGCGUAGAGAUCUGGAGGAAUACCGGUGGCGAAGGCGGCCCCCUGGACAAAGACUGACGCUCAGGUGCGAAAGCGUGGGGAGCAAACAGGAUUAGAUACCCCAGUAGUCCCUGUCUCUUAUAC
Molecule: ribosomal RNA, 301 nt
Filed under: uncultured bacterium
Lineage: Bacteria
Description: partial 16S ribosomal RNA
Rfam family: Bacterial small subunit ribosomal RNA
Source: RNAcentral